Molecule: ribosomal RNA, 230 nt
Filed under: uncultured prokaryote
Description: partial 16S ribosomal RNA
Rfam family: Bacterial small subunit ribosomal RNA
Source: RNAcentral
UACGGGGGGGGCAGGCGUUGUUCGGAAUUACUGGGCGUAAAGGGUUCGUAGGUGGCCUGCUAAGUCAGACGUGAAAUCCCUCAGCUUAACUGGGGAACUGCGUCUGAGACUGGCGUGCUGGAGCACUGUAGAGGCAGGUGGAAUUCCGGGUGUAGCGGUGGAAUGCGUAGAGAUCCGGAAGAACACCGGUGGCGAAGGCGGCCUGCUGGGCGGUAGCUGACGCUGAUGCG